GCAGUGGCAGCUCAGUGGCAGAGUUCUCGUCUUCCACGCCAGAGACCCAAGUUCGAUUCCCAGCCAAUGCA
This 71-nucleotide transfer RNA is filed under the name Loxodonta africana (African savanna elephant). It matches the Rfam family "tRNA". Rfam says of the family: Transfer RNA (tRNA) molecules are approximately 80 nucleotides in length. Their secondary structure includes four short double-helical elements and three loops (D, anti-codon, and T loops). The record is from Rfam by way of RNAcentral. Lineage: Eukaryota; Metazoa; Chordata; Mammalia; Proboscidea; Elephantidae.